RNAcentral lists this ribosomal RNA (200 nucleotides) under uncultured bacterium. RNAcentral's name for it is "partial 16S ribosomal RNA". It matches the Rfam family "Bacterial small subunit ribosomal RNA", at positions 8 to 210 of the family's 1533-position model. The record is from RNAcentral.
AGAGUUUGAUCAUGGCUCAGGACGAACGCUGGCGGCGUGCUUAACACAUGCAAGUCGAGCGGAAAGGCCCUUCGGGGUACUCGAGCGGCGAACGGGUGAGUAACACGUGAGCAAUCUGCCCUUAGCUUCGGGAUAGCUCCGGGAAACCGGAAUUAAUACCGGAUGUGACUGUGGCCGGCAUCGGUCAUGGUGGAAAGUUU